This 274-nucleotide ribosomal RNA is filed under the name uncultured bacterium. Its description in RNAcentral is "partial 16S ribosomal RNA". It matches the Rfam family "Bacterial small subunit ribosomal RNA", at positions 523 to 796 of the family's 1533-position model. The record is from RNAcentral.
AUACGGAGGGUUCAAGCGUUACUCGGAAUCACUGGGCGUAAAGCGCGCGCAGGCGGUCUUUUAAGUUGGAUGUGAAAGCCUACGGCGCAACCGUAGAACUGCAUCCAAAACUAUUAGACUAGAGUGUGGGAGAGGAAGAUGGAAUUAGUUGUGUAGGGGUAAAAUCCGUAGAGAUAACUAGGAAUACCAAAAGCGAAGGAAAUCUUCUGGAACACUACUGACGCUGAGGCGCGAACGCGUGGGGAGCAAACAGGAUUAGAAACCCUAGUAGUCC